Long non-coding RNA from Seriola aureovittata, 228 nucleotides. RefSeq lists it as uncharacterized. Lineage: Eukaryota; Metazoa; Chordata; Actinopteri; Carangiformes; Carangidae. The transcript has 3 exons. The record is from RefSeq and is a predicted model, not a curated record.
CGAAGACACGGGCCUACUAAUUAGCACAGGGAAGCGGCACACUCCUGGUUUGCCAAACAAACAAACGCGCCUCAUCGAAAGGUGACAGUAUUGCACAGGGAUCGGUCUCAUCCAUGACAACAGUGAGGAUGACAACAGGAUGGAGUCUGCUCCUGCUGCCUUAUUCUUGCUGGUCGGUUGCUGUGCAACCAUGACAACAGGCCCCAGCUACAGUACCAUGAUUUUCUC